Molecule: long non-coding RNA, 3197 nt
Filed under: Mus musculus (house mouse)
Lineage: Eukaryota; Metazoa; Chordata; Mammalia; Rodentia; Muridae
Description: long non-coding RNA chr9:31130419-31133616
Source: RNAcentral
AGUCACCAGAGGACCCACUUUCAAUAUCAGCACCCGUCUUCGAAAGGGAAGUCUGGAAGGGCAAACCGAAAAUGAGAGAAAAACAGAUGAAGGUCAAACACCAAGCGGCAGGCUACCUGCGGAGGAGGCACGAGUUCCAAGCAGGCAAUUACUAAGGACUCGCAAACACCCCAAUCACAGAAAGAAGGAGAAGGCGGCAGCAGGUGGCAUCUCACUGCAGGGCAGAAGCACAGGUUGCGGGGACUCUGUUACAAGGGGUGAGAAGUGAAGUCCCAGCUCACGGUCCCCCGAGAUCUGGUCUUCUCCAAGUCAGCAGAGAAGGAGUGCAUGAAAAAGCGGCGGAAGGGGAGGCUCGGCUCCAGGAAACUGCCUCUGCCAGAGCAACAAGCCUCGCUCACCAGCCUCUAGCUGCGGUUCAGAAAAAAGCCUGGCCGCUAGUCCCACCAGAGCACGGCGCCACCACUACCCCACGACCCGUGUGUGUCUUUCAGGAUAACUAACGCCCUCCCCCACUGUGUGCAGCAAAGUGAAAUGCUUCUGAGGUCUUUCAAGAGACUUCUCAGGCUUCUGCUUCCCGCUUACUAAAGGCUUCUUCCAGAAGGCUCAGGACACAUGCUUCACCACUACCCAGACAGCCACCUUCUCAAGGGCUCCACACUCUGUGUGGACAAAGCUCUGCUCUGAGUUCAACCCUUACAAAAGAUCCAAAGCGCCUUUGACCAGGAAGACUAAAACGAGUUUGUGCAGAGGCCAAGGACAGACAAGUCUCCAACUUGUCCUUGCCAUAGCCCAGGUCACCCACUCGGAGCACUGAUUGAUAGCCCAGAGCAAUGGUGACCCCCACGGAGAUCCUGCCAGCCCCAACCCCGACGCCUCCGGGCCCUACGGCUUCCCACCUCCUCAGUGCCCAGCGCGAGGCAGGUCUGGGACCGAGGUCCGACCGGCCCCGCCCUGCCACCAGCGGCCAGGCACCCACCGAACAGGAAAUUCCACCUGUGCGCCCGAGCUCCGGCCACCCACGAGCCGUAGAGCGGAGCUCGGGCGAAACCGAGGGCCCCGCGCAGGCGACGCUGCGCGCGGAUCAGAACUGUGGACGCCCGACCCCGGGUCCCCAGCCCUCGCCCACCUCUAGCCGGGAGUUGUACUUGAGUCCCGCGCCGAAGUCCUGAGAGCCCCCUCCGGCCUUGCGGCCCCGAUUGCUACCCAUGGUUUUGGCGGUCCGAUCGCCGGUCUCAGACGCGUGGUCCCUCCGGGCAGCCGUCUACCAUGGCCCGCGGGGUGUUGGGGACACGAGGGACGAGGGGGACGAGGUGAGGCACGGGCCAAGUUCCGGGGCAGGCCCAGCGCGCCCGGCCCGCGGCGGAGGCUCCAGUUCUCAUCCUUCCUCCCAGCUCAGGUAGUUUCAGGGUGUGGCCUCCAGGGUCGCCCCGCCCCUCCAGCCAGCCAGCACCGGCGCCCGCACACCUGUUGCGGCCGGUCCCGCCUUCCGCCACGCCCCCAGGAAGCUCUUUCCCUCCCGCCAGAACCCCGAAAAGGAGCACCACAGAGUUCUGGCUCUUUCUUCCUCUUUGUCACGGGUGGCUCUUUCUCCUGGAGCACAGCCCUUCAGUCCGGUCCUUUGAUACUGGCCAUCUCUCCACCAUCUUUAAUACAAUUUUAAUCUCUCUCCCGUGGAUCUUUCCCUACAAUCAAUCAUGUUACCAGAUGCCUGUGUCUCCGUUAUUGUCCCUUCAAAACCGUAGCCAGCUGUUGUUAAGACCAGGCCUUCCUCCUGUGUCAUGUCCCCUCCUGGGGACAGUAGCAGCCUCUUCUUCGCUGUCAGAGCCACUGACAGUGGCCUGUGCCCAGAGAAAUGAUUGCAGGUCCCCAGAGUCUUUCUCCAACUAUUUGCAGCAUCAGAUACUGACUGCACAUCCCGUCUUGAAAAGCGUCUUUUCUGUAUUUUCGUAAUCCUUUCUGACCUCUAGACUAGAUCGCUAGUCAACCUCCUCCCUUUUUUCUACACUCCCUUCCUUUAAUUUGUUGUUAUUGUUGUCGUUGUUUAUUUGCGUGUUUGAGAACAACUUGCGAGAUACUUGGUCUCUCCUUGCACCUUGUGGGUUCUAGGGAUGGAGAAUCAUCAGGCUGGGCAGUAAGAGCCCUUACUGGCUCAGUCAUCCUGCAGGACCCACACUUUCCUUCUUUAAGGAUACGUGCCUUCCCAGCACAGGCACCAAAGGUGUUCCCCACCUGGGUAUUUCUCUGCUGAUAUUCUGCAGUCUUGAUUAGUGAACCAAAACUCCUGAGCUCAUAGUAUGUGCUGUCCUAGCUCUUGGGAAACAAGAAUGAGCAAAAUGAAAUUUUGCUCCUUUGAACUCCUACUUUGAAAUUAACAAGCCCCAAGUUUCUACCUAGAACCCAGCCCUUCUUAAAAUAACAUAAAUCUCUAUGAGUCUGUGUCCCACAGCAGCUACAGCAAGCAGAGCCCCCUGCUGAUGUAUUCUGGAGAUAAGUGAUGUAACAACUCUGGUGAUAUUAGACCAAAGAGAGUCUACUGACACAGACUCGUCCUCCCUGUGAGCCAGGACUGGGUCUUUCUGUCUCUCUAUCAUUGCACUACUGUGUCUCACUGACCGGAGUCUUCCAAGUCUAAGUUAUGUGAGUGUGAUGCACAGGGAAAUAAAUUUGCCACUAUACUGCAUGCAAAGAAUUCCAAAGCCAAAUGGAGCAUAUUGAAAAAUAACUCCCUGCUUUGGAUUACCACUGGCACAAACACCCUUUAAUUAGUGAAUGACUGAAAGUUAGCCUGAUUCGAGGCAGCAAAGACUAGAAGGGACUUGUGGCUCUGGACCUGCUAUUCUGUUGAGAAAAGAAUGACUCAUUUUCUUUCUCAACUUCCUGCAGUUCCAUCCUUUAUCUCAGAAAGCUAAAUGUGUAUCUCGUCUGUGAGAGGCACCCAUCUGGUCAUUUGAGUGCAGGCAAUGCCACAAAUCUGUCGUAAGUCCAGCAGAAGAGUCACCCUCCUGUGCUAUGCACACCCUAUGUGCAUGCCUAGGACAUCCCUAUGACCAACAACCGGACAAAGUAAACUUUAUGCUAACAUCUUAAAUCUGUUUGGUUUAAUCGUUAUAAAGUAUAUAUAAGGCAGGUGUGGUGGCAAACACACGGGCCAGCCUGAUCUACAUAGCAAACCCUGCCUCAAUAAAGAAAGAACAAUA